Molecule: ribosomal RNA, 440 nt
Filed under: uncultured bacterium
Lineage: Bacteria
Description: partial 16S ribosomal RNA
Rfam family: Bacterial small subunit ribosomal RNA
Source: RNAcentral
CCUACGGGUGGCAGCAGUGGGGAAUAUUGCGCAAUGGGCGAAAGCCUGACGCAGCGACGCCGCGUGAGGGAUGAAGGUUUUCGGAUUGUAAACUCCUUUUGUUAGAGAAGAUAAUGACGGUAUCUAACGAAUAAGCACCGGCUAACUCCGUGCCAGCAGCCGCGGUAAUACGUAGGGGGCAAGCGUUAUCCGGAUUUACUGGGUGUAAAGGGAGCGUAGACGGCAGCGCAAGUCUGGAGUGAAAUCCCAUGGCAUAACCAUGGCACAGGUUUAGAAACUGUGCAGCUGUAGUGCAGGAGAGGUAAGCGGAAUUCCUAGUGUAGCGGUGAAAUGCGUAGAUAUUAGGAGGAACACCAGUGGCGAAGGCGGAUUACUGGACUGUAACUGACGUUGAGGCUCGAAAGCGUGGGGAGCAAACAGGAUUAGAUACCCCGGUAGUC